This 505-nucleotide ribosomal RNA is filed under the name uncultured bacterium. RNAcentral's name for it is "partial 16S ribosomal RNA". It matches the Rfam family "Bacterial small subunit ribosomal RNA", at positions 28 to 507 of the family's 1533-position model. The record is from RNAcentral.
GACGAACGCUGGCGGCGUGCCUAAUACAUGCAAGUAGAACGCACAGUUUAUACCGUAGCUUGCUACACCAUAGACUGUGAGUUGCGAACGGGUGAGUAACGCGUAGGUAACCUGCCUGGUAGCGGGGGAUAACUAUUGGAAACGAUAGCUAAUACCGCAUAAUAUUAAUUAUUGCAUGAUAAUUAAUUGAAAGGUGCAAUUGCACCACUACCAGAUGGACCUGCGUUGUAUUAGCUAGUAGGUGAGGUAACGGCUCACCUAGGCGACGAUACAUAGCCGACCUGAGAGGGUGAUCGGCCACACUGGGACCGGGACACGGCCCAGACUCCUACGGGAGGCAGCAGUAGGGAAUCUUCGGCAAUGGACGAAAGGCUGACCGAGCAACGCCGCGUGAGUGAAGAAGGUUUUCGGAUCGGAAAGCUCUGUUGUAAGAGAAGAACGGGUGUGAGAGUGGAAAGUUCACACUGUGACGGUAUCUUAACAGAAAGGGACGGCUAACUACGUG